GCUGGGCAUAGUAAAUAGCCCACAGCUGUAGUCUCAGCUACUUGGGCAGCUGAGGCAGGAGAAUUACUUGAGCCCAGGAGUUCUAGGCUGUAGUACGCUAUGCCAAUCGGGUGUCUACACUAAGUUGAGCAUCAGAAUGGUGGCCUCUCAGGAGCAGGAGAUCACUGUGUGGCCUAAGGGCAACACAGUCAACUGGCCCAAGUUGGAAAUGGAACAGGUCAAAGCUCCCAUGCUGAUCAGUAGUGGGAUUGUACCUGUAAAAAACCACUGCACUCUAGCCUGGAAAAGCAUAGCAAGACCCUGUCUCU
RNAcentral lists this signal recognition particle RNA (308 nucleotides) under Saimiri boliviensis boliviensis (Bolivian squirrel monkey). RNAcentral's name for it is "Metazoan signal recognition particle RNA (ENSSBOG00000005503.1)". It matches the Rfam family "Metazoan signal recognition particle RNA". Rfam says of the family: The signal recognition particle (SRP) is a universally conserved ribonucleoprotein. It is involved in the co-translational targeting of proteins to membranes. The eukaryotic SRP consists of a 300-nucleotide 7S RNA and six proteins: SRPs 72, 68, 54, 19, 14, and 9. Lineage: Eukaryota; Metazoa; Chordata; Mammalia; Primates; Cebidae. The record is from RNAcentral.